GACGAACGCUGGCGGCGUGCCUAAUACAUGCAGGUAGAACGCACAGUUUAUACCGUAGCUUGCUACACCAUAGACUGUGAGUUGCGAACGGGUGAGUAACGCGUAGGUAACCUGCCUGGUAGCGGGGGAUAACUAUUGGAAACGAUAGCUAAUACCGCAUAAUAUUAAUUAUUGCAUGAUAAUUAAUUGAAAGGUGCAAUUGCACCACUACCAGAUGGACCUGCGUUGUAUUAGCUAGUAGGUGAGGUAACGGCUCACCUAGGCGACGAUACAUAGCCGACCGGGGGGGGUGAUCGGCCACCCGGGAACUGGAAACCGGCCCAGACUCCUACGGGAGGCAGCAGUAGGGAAUAUUCGGAAAUGGACGAAAGUCUGACCGAGCAAUGCCGCGUGGGUGAAGAAGGUUUUCGGAUUGUAAAGCCCUUUUGUAAGGAAAGAAAGGGGGGGGGUGGGGAAAGUUCCCAUUGGAAGGGAAUCUAACAAAAAAGGGCCGGCUAACUCGGU
RNAcentral lists this ribosomal RNA (504 nucleotides) under uncultured bacterium. RNAcentral's name for it is "partial 16S ribosomal RNA". It matches the Rfam family "Bacterial small subunit ribosomal RNA", at positions 28 to 506 of the family's 1533-position model. The record is from RNAcentral.